AUUGAACGCUGGCGGCAGGCCUAACACAUGCAAGUCGAACGAGUGGCGGACGGGUGAGUAAUGUCUGGGAAACUGCCCGAUGGAGGGGGAUAACUACUGGAAACGGGAGAUAAUACCGCAUACUAUCGGAUGUGCCCAUAUGGGAUUAGCUAGUAGGUGGGGUAACGGCUCACCUGGGCGACGCUCCCUAGCUGGUCUGAGAGGAUGACCAGCCACACUGGAACUGAGACACGGUCCAGACUCCUACGGGAGGCAGCAGUGGGGAAUAUUGCACAAUGGGCGCAAGCCUGUUGCAGCCAUGCCGCGUGUAUGAAGAAGGCCUUCGGGUUGUAAAGUACUUUCAGCGAGGAGGCGUUACUCGCAGAAGAAGCACCGGCUAACUCCGUGCCAGCAGCCGCGGUAAUAC
Molecule: ribosomal RNA, 406 nt
Filed under: uncultured bacterium
Lineage: Bacteria
Description: partial 16S ribosomal RNA
Rfam family: Bacterial small subunit ribosomal RNA
Source: RNAcentral